Molecule: ribosomal RNA, 581 nt
Filed under: uncultured marine eukaryote
Lineage: Eukaryota
Description: SSU rRNA
Rfam family: Eukaryotic small subunit ribosomal RNA
Source: RNAcentral
UUGCAGUUAAAAAGCUCGUAGUCGGAUUUCAGUAUUAGGCCCUUCUUCCAAUACGGUUGCUAGUGGUCUUUACUUCCUUAACAGAAUCUUUCAUCUCAUUAAUUUGGGGUGUUUGGGGCCUGUUUCUUUUACUUUGAGAAAAUUAGAGUGUUCAAAGCGGGUUCUCGCCUGGAUAUUACUCUUGGAAUAAUAAUAUAGGACUUUGGUUCUUUUUUGUUGGUGACUUAGAACCGAAGUAAUGAUUGAUAGGGACAGUUGGGGUCAUUCGUACUAUGAAGCGAGAGGUGAAAUUCAUGGACCUUUGUAUGACGAACUACUGCGAAAGCAUUUGACUAGGAUGUUCCCGUUGAUCAAGAACGAAAGUUGGGGGAUCGAAGACGAUCAGAUACCGUCGUAGUCUCAACCAUAAACUAUGCCAGCUAGGGAUUGGAGGAAGAUCAUUUUACGUCUCCUUCAGCACCUUAUGAGAAAUCAAAGCAUUUGGGUUCCGGGGGGAGAUAUGGUCGCAAGGCUGAAACUUAAAGGAAUUGACGGGAGGGCACCACCACGAGUGGAGCCUGCGGCUUAAUUUGAUUCAACAC